GUGCUGAUGAAGAGUCCCAAACUAGGACGAAGCAGCCGUCCAGUAC
RNAcentral lists this non-coding RNA (46 nucleotides) under Trichobilharzia regenti. The record is from RNAcentral. Lineage: Eukaryota; Metazoa; Platyhelminthes; Trematoda; Strigeidida; Schistosomatidae.